This 301-nucleotide ribosomal RNA is filed under the name uncultured bacterium. RNAcentral describes it as "partial 16S ribosomal RNA". It matches the Rfam family "Bacterial small subunit ribosomal RNA", at positions 509 to 807 of the family's 1533-position model. The record is from RNAcentral.
CAGCCGCCACGGUAAUACAGAGGGUGCAAGCGUUAAUCGGAAUUACUGGGCGUAAAGCGCGCGUAGGUGGUUUGUUAAGUUGGAUGUGAAAUCCCCGGGCUCAACCUGGGAACUGCAUCCAAAACUGGCAAGCUAGAGUAUGGUAGAGGGUGGUGGAAUUUCCUGUGUAGCGGUGAAAUGCGUAGAUAUAGGAAGGAACACCAGUGGCGAAGGCGACCACCUGGACUGAUACUGACACUGAGGUGCGAAAGCGUGGGGAGCAAACAGGAUUAGAUACCCCUGUAGUCCCUGUCUCUUAUAC